Non-coding RNA from Etheostoma cragini (Arkansas darter), 612 nucleotides. NCBI's taxonomy places the organism in Eukaryota, Metazoa, Chordata, Actinopteri, Perciformes, Percidae. The record is from the annotation of a RefSeq genome assembly.
CUUUUUAGCUCCAGACCAACACACAAUCACAUGCUAUAUAUUUGAUUCUAUGCAAACUCAUGAAUCUUCCUGGUGACCCAGUUAUAAAGACUUCACAUGACACUGUCAGUGGAGGUUAAAGAGGAUCAGAAGCUCACAGAACGUCAGUCUCAACAUAAACCAUGUUCUCUAUAGCUCUGCUGCUGCUGUUGGCAGCUGGAUGUGUGAAGUGUGAACAGUUGACACAGCCAGCCUCUGUGACUGUGCAGCCAGGUCAACGUCUGACCAUCACCUGUCAGGUCUCUUAUUCUCUCAGCAGCUACUACACAGCUUGGAUCAGACAGCCUGCCGGGAAAGGACUGGAGUGGAUCAGUAGCGACACAGACGUCAAAGAUACACUGACGAACAAGUUCAGUGUAAACCUGGACUCUUCCAGCAACACAGUGACUCUAAUUGGACAGAAUGUGCAGCCUGAAGACACUGCUGUGUAUUACUGUGCCAGGAGAGCCACAGUAACACAAACCAUCAGUAGACCUGAAAAAAAACCCCUCAGAGCCUGAACACUUGUAACAUGAAGCCACCAGAGGAGGAGCCCUCCGACCACUAAUGGUUUCAACACCAGCUCACUGUUAC